AAGAAAAGUUAGUUGUUUAACUAGCCAAUUAUGCAUGCAUAUGUGUUUUUCCUUAUUUUUGUAUUGCUUUGCAAGGUGGACGAAGUUAUGGACGUUUCGACUUUCAACCAGUGAUGAAUUGGAUGUACCCACCUUCGGAGAUAAACCGGUGAUGGAAAUUGCAAAGCAGCAUGGAGGUUAUCAACUACAGGUCCAUUUUUAAAAUUUGUAAUUACUAUCUUUUAAAUGAAUCUCUACUCUUAUGGAAGAGAGUGAGGGUAGAAGACUACAAUCUGUUAUGUUUCAUGGAAGAGGAUGAGGGUUUAUUCUUGCAACCUCACCUGGUACUGUUUCCCAUUCAGGUGUCCCUUUUCAGCUUUUGGGUGUUGAAAUCUCUUCCUAUCAGUAAAGCAUUUAGUCUGAACUUGAGUUUUCAAGGAAGCUGUUAGCAUAUAUAGAUACUGACAGAGCAAGCUGAAGUCUCUACAUGAUAUGAUCACUUGAAUUACUGGGUGAAUAUCAAAGUUUUCGUUGGGUGUGGCACAUCAACUGAACUGUUGGGGUGGUCUCAGUCGCAUAAUCCAUCACUAGGAAAUUUGUUGGUUGUCAUUGUAGGAAUUACUCUGGAAAUGUUCUUGGAAAUCUUUAAUUUCCCUCCUUACAAAGGAUUUUCAUGAAAGAUAAUGCCCAGUUUUAGAGUUCAAACUUCAUGAAUAGGGUAAAGAACAAAAGCUCAAGUGAUGCACACAGGGAGAAACUGAAAAUGCUAGAAAUGCUAUUGGAGCCAAAACAAACAUGAGCAAGAGAUUUGGUAAUACUUCUGUUGAUGACGCGGUCUGCACUACAGGUGAAACAGGGUGCAACAGCGAUGAAAUUCACAGCCUAUGAAACAGGGUGCAACUCAAUUAACAUGACUUGAGUUGAUAAAUUCACAUAUCUCCAGACUUACAACAGCAAUUUGCGCACCUUAUAUGAUCAAGCAAACUUAACAGGCAACUUAGCAUUGGCUCA
Long non-coding RNA from Papaver somniferum (opium poppy), 990 nucleotides. RefSeq lists it as uncharacterized. The record is from RefSeq and is a predicted model, not a curated record. Lineage: Eukaryota; Viridiplantae; Streptophyta; Magnoliopsida; Ranunculales; Papaveraceae. The transcript is spliced from 4 exons.